RNAcentral lists this ribosomal RNA (465 nucleotides) under uncultured bacterium. RNAcentral's name for it is "partial 16S ribosomal RNA". It matches the Rfam family "Bacterial small subunit ribosomal RNA", at positions 28 to 507 of the family's 1533-position model. The record is from RNAcentral.
GACGAACGCUGGCGGCGUGCUUAACACAUGCAAGUCGAACGGAAAGGCCCUGCUUGCAGGGUACUCGAGUGGCGAACGGGUGAGUAACACGUGGGUGAUCUGCCCUGCACUUCGGGAUAAGCCUGGGAAACUGGGUCUAAUACCGGAUAGGAGCCAUUUUUAGUGUGAUGGUUGGAAAGUUUUUUCGGUGUAGGAUGAGCUCGCGGCCUAUCAGCUUGUUGGUGGGGUAAUGGCCUACCAAGGCGGCGACGGGUAGCCGGCCUGAGAGGGUGGACGGCCACAUUGGGACUGAGAUACGGCCCAGACUCCUACGGGAGGCAGCAGGGGGGAAUAUUGCACAAUGGGCGCAAGCCUGAUGCAGCGACGCCGCGGGGGGGAGGACGGCCUUCGGGUUGUAAACUCCUUUCGCUAGGGACGAAGCUUUUUGUGACGGUACCUAGAGAAGAAGCACCGGCUAACUACGUG